Molecule: small RNA, 341 nt
Filed under: Pongo abelii (Sumatran orangutan)
Lineage: Eukaryota; Metazoa; Chordata; Mammalia; Primates; Hominidae
Description: processed transcript
Source: RNAcentral
AAAAGUUCAAAUUGUUCACCUUGGUGUGAGGCCUUUUACAACCUGGCUCAGAUCUGCCUUUUUAGUCUCAGAUUGCAGCAUCUUAUGGAAAUGUUAUCUCCAUUUUUGAACCAGUUAACCUACCGAAACAAAAGAAAAAUUUGGUCAGUAAUUUAUGAUUUCUUCUUUUAGGAAUUGAAAUGUUUUAGGUAUUGAAAGAGUGUAAAAUCAGAGUGAUCAUCGAGUAGAUCGGUAUAACUUAUAUACUGUAAUUGAACCCACAUGUUAAAUUCCAUUUUGAUAUUAAAAAUAAAUUUUUCAUUGGAAUAGAACUCAAAUAAAUUGUGCCAAUGAAUUGUUGA